GUCAAGAACAUUCGACAAUGGGCGAAAGCCUGAUCGAGCGACGCCGCGUGCAGGAAGAAACCCUUCGGGGCGUAAACUGCGGUAGUAAGCAAGCAACGCAAGUGAGCAGCUUACGGAAAGAGGUGGGUAACUACGUGCCAGCACCAGCGGUAAAACGUAGACCUCAAGCGUUAUCCGGAUUUAUUGGGCGUAAAGAGCAUGUAGGAGGUUUUGUGCGUCUUUGGUUAAAGCCCACCGCCCAACGGUGGAACCGCCAAGGAUACGGCAGAACUAGAGGAGGUUAGAGGUGCACGGAGCGCACGGUGUAGGGGUGAAAUCCGUUGAUAUCGUGCGAAACACCAAAGGCGAAGGCAGUGCACUGGGACCUUCCUGACUCUGAGAUGCGAAAGCGUGGGGAGCAAAAAGGAUUAGAAACCCGUGUAGUCC
Molecule: ribosomal RNA, 426 nt
Filed under: uncultured bacterium
Lineage: Bacteria
Description: bacterial SSU rRNA
Rfam family: Bacterial small subunit ribosomal RNA
Source: RNAcentral